AUUGAACGCUGGCGGCAGGCCUAACACAUGCAAGUCGAGCGGAGCGGCGGACGGGUGAGUAAUGCCUAGGAAUCUGCCUGGUAGUGGGGGAUAACGUCCGGAAACGGGCGCUAAUACCGCAUACUAUCAGAUGAGCCUAGGUCGGAUUAGCUAGUUGGUGGGGUAAAGGCCUACCAAGGCGAAGAUCCGUAACUGGUCUGAGAGGUUGACCAGUCAAACUGGAACUGAGACACGGUCCAACCGCAUACGGGAGGCAGCAGUGGGGAAUAUGGGACAAUGGGCGAAAGCCUGGACCAGACAUGCCGCGUGUGUGAAGAAGGUCUUCGGAUUGUAAAGCACUUUAAGUUGGGAGGCGUUACCAACAGAAUAAGCACCGGCUAACUGCGUGCCAGCCGCCGCGGUAAUAC
This 407-nucleotide ribosomal RNA is filed under the name uncultured bacterium. Its description in RNAcentral is "partial 16S ribosomal RNA". It matches the Rfam family "Bacterial small subunit ribosomal RNA", at positions 30 to 526 of the family's 1533-position model. The record is from RNAcentral.